UUAUGGUGGGGCGUAUGGGGCCGACUUCGGUCGGGCCGGGUUCGUGUAUAGCCGGUUGUGGAAACCCUGUACGUCUCACCACCC
This 84-nucleotide non-coding RNA is filed under the name Salmonella enterica. Lineage: Bacteria; Pseudomonadati; Pseudomonadota; Gammaproteobacteria; Enterobacterales; Enterobacteriaceae. The record is from RNAcentral.